Non-coding RNA from Angiostrongylus cantonensis (rat lungworm), 67 nucleotides. The record is from Rfam. Lineage: Eukaryota; Metazoa; Nematoda; Chromadorea; Rhabditida; Metastrongylidae.
UCCGCCGUGGUAUAGUGGAUUUACGGCUCUCACCCGUAAUUCCCGGGUUCGAUUCCCGGCAACGGAA